CCCAAGGAACAACGCGUUUCAACGGGUGCCUAAACAGUCCGCUCAGGUCACCGCCCUGUCAAGGCCCUCCGGAUACUCUCAGUCCAACGGCCAUAUUUGUUUUCCUCCCAUUACCGGAAGCGCCCCUCCAAAGCUCCGCCCCAUCCUGCCUCCAGCGUUUGGGCCAAGGCGUGGCAGGUGCCUGCGUCCACUCCGUUGCCCGAAGCGCUUCACCUAGGCCCCGCCUCAACCCCGCCCUCAGCCUUUCCGCGUCGGGGCCUGGCCAAUAGAUACACCCCGCCCAUUACCGGAAGCAUUCCCUCCAGGCCUGUCCCAUGCCCGAUCCUCCACCUGCGCUCUUGCGCAGUUAUUGAACGACCCGGAAGCGAAGGUCGUAUCGACCUCAGUGGGUUUUGAACUUUCUGUUUUGUACGUGAGUGUUUCCAGUCAACAGUCGCACACGCCCAGCGUCUGGGGUCUCAAUACGAGUUAACGUCCCCUGCCCCGCGCCCCCUACCGCGGUGAAUGGCGUCGCGGGCACACCGAACCGUGCUGGCGGCGCUGCCCGCGCGGGGUUCCCGGUUGGUUUCGGUUCGGAUCAAUUGAAAUUUGCUGUUUUGAAUUGAACAGGAACUGUUGACAUUCAGGGAUGUGGCCAUAGAGUUCUCUCAGGAGGAGCGGGAGUGCCUGGACCCCGCUCAGAGGGCCUGGUACAGGGAUGUGAUGUUGGAGAACUACAGGACCCUGGUCUCCCUGGCUGUCCAGGAACUGGGAUUGGUUUAUGGAAAAGCUGCAGGACAUCAUCUACCGGUUUCCAUGUCAGCAAGACCCUCUUUCUGAGCUGAAUACCAUCUCCACUGUGGAGGAAGGAAGAGCCUUGCACGGCCAGGAGUGGGGUGAAACUAGCGGCAAAACCCAGGUGCUGGACAUCUUGUGUGGUGAACUCUGCCAUGAGGAGUUUUACUGGGUAAAAGAACAUUCUGCAUGGAGAACACUUAGAUUUAGAUGUCACAGCACCAUCCUACUAAGUGGAGUUGUGCCCCCAAAGCACCUGAGUAGAGUGGUGAGUGUGUUCCAGGAUGCUGGCAUCUAGUGUAGCAUGGGAGCCUGGCGUAGGGCUCCAGUGUCCUUCCAGUUUUUGGAGUGUCUCAAAGGUGUCCCUUGAGGGCACUGGGGCGAUGGUGAUAGAGUUCACUGAGGAUCAUCCCCCUUGAUUUGGCAUGAGCAAGUACAGGAAUUUAUUGUGAGGAGAUCAUUGCCUGUCUUCAUAACCCCAUCUAUGAGACUGUUGACCAAAUUAUUGUUCAUGCAACAAUGUUCAUUCCAUGUGUAUGCCCUUGUUCCUUCUUCAGCAAAUAAGAUUUCAUUUAUUGUAUUGAACGAAUUUAUGAGUUCUUGAUGCCUACAUUAUUGACCUCUACCCUAUUUCUUUUGUUGAAAAUGCUGUUUGCUUUGUUCUUCAGCUUUCCGUGUAUUAUAAAUGAACUUGUUAUUUAAAUAUAUAAUCAUUGGUUAUGUAUUUUUUAUGACACCCAUAAGUGUUCUUUGUUUUGUCAUUGUAAUUUGUUGGGCUGUUUGACCAUGGAAUGAAUAUUAUUUCAUAUAAUUAUAAUUUGUUCCUGGAUGUUAAGGGUUAUGGUGGAGCUGUUGUCCAAAAACCUAUAAUAACCUCUAGAAUUUGCUAAAAAUAUCAUCAUAGUUACUCUUCCUUCAUCUGUUUUGCUUGAGUUAAUACUUGUCUAUUAACAAAUACUUUCCCAUGUGAAUGAAUUUGGAUUUUAUUGGAUAUCUGGAGAAUAUUGUUAUUGUUAUAGUGACUGUAUUUGUCCCUUAAAUAGAAAGAAAUGUAUCCAUAAUUUGUUUUAUAAGAUAUUUCAGUUUCUCUAUAGUAUAUUUUAAGUUUUCUAAACAUAAUUUGUUGGAUUUUGUAUGAAUUUUACAGAGCUUUUUAUUUCAGUUAAAAUGUUUUAUUUUAAAAAUCAUCUCCCUACCUAGGUUUACAAUGUAAUUCUGGGUAUACUGAACUAAUCGUUAAAUAUCUAAUUUAUUUAAUAGGAACAUAGCCAAUAUCUUGCAUUUCAUAUAGUUUUUCAUCACUGUUACUUAUGACACAGAUUUCCACACAAUUUUUCAUGUUCUGGGAAUCCUGUUAUUCAUUAAUUCAUAAAGAGUGCUUUGUUCUCAGCUA
Molecule: long non-coding RNA, 2167 nt
Organism: Felis catus (domestic cat)
Lineage: Eukaryota; Metazoa; Chordata; Mammalia; Carnivora; Felidae
Exons: 4
Source: RefSeq, a predicted model, not a curated record